GACGAACGCUGGCGGCGUGCUUAACACAUGCAAGUCGAACGGGCCUGUCUUCUUUUUUGGGGGGUGGGUUGAGUGGCGAACGGGUGAGUAUCACGUGAGUAACCUGCCCUUCGGUCCUGGAUAACCGCUUGAAAGGGCGGCUAAUACGGGGUGGUCCGGUUGGUCCGCAUGGGCUGGUCGGGAUAGAUUCACUGUUUUUGGUGUUUCGGCGGGGGAUGGGCUCGCGGCCUAUCAGCUUGUUGGUGGGGCGAUGGCCUACCAAGGCGGUGACGGGUAGCCGGCCUGAGGGGGUGGGCGGCCACACUGGGACUGAGAUACGGCCCAGACUCCUGCGGGAGGCAGCAGUGGGGGGUAUUGCACAAUGGGCGGAAGCCUGAUGCAGCGACGUCGCGUGAGGGAUGGAGGCCUUCGGGUUGUGAACCUCUGUUUCCGGUGGUGAAGGCCCUGUCCGUGUGGUGGGGUUGACGGUAGCCGGGGAUGAAGCGCCGGCUAACUACGUG
RNAcentral lists this ribosomal RNA (500 nucleotides) under uncultured bacterium. Its description in RNAcentral is "partial 16S ribosomal RNA". It matches the Rfam family "Bacterial small subunit ribosomal RNA", at positions 28 to 507 of the family's 1533-position model. The record is from RNAcentral.